GUAAGCCAGUAUCGCUCUUGUUGGUGAAAUGAAUACAAUACCAAUUCCAUUUCCUUCUCCAUUGGAGGAUCCAUCCAUCAAUAUCUCUCAUCUGUUUGGAUUUCGCUCAUUUAAUAAAUCAUUGGGAUUUCCAUGUUCUUCAUCCACCUCCAUCAUUUCUUCUACAUAUUCAUCUUCUUCUAUUGGAAAUUCUGCAAGAAACUCUGCGGUAACUUGAGACUUUGGUGAAGAUAAAAUUUCAUAACCAAUCUCAUAGUUUCCUAAUUGUGCAUUCCACCUCUCUAUUCUUCCUGACCUCUUCGAAUUCUUCAUUGCAUUUUCAAUUGGUGGUGGCAUAUCUCUAAUCGCUUGUACCAUCUCCGGAUCAACUUGUAUUCCCUCCUUGGAUAUAAUAUAUCCUAAAAAUUUUCCUGAUGAUACGCCAUUACACAUUUUUCUGGGUUUACUUUAAUAUUGAAUUUUCACAUUUGUUCAAAUAUUGAUCGCAAAUCAUCAACAUGAUCUUUCGCCUCUUUGCUUUUAGUUAGCAUAUCAUCUACAUAGACUUCUAAUGUUUUAUGUAUCCAUUUUUUUCGAAUACUUUCUGCACCAUUCUUUGAUAAGUUGCACCUGCAUUCUUCAAUCCAAAUGGCAUUUUCGUGUAACAAUAUAAACCUCCUGGUGCGAAGAAAGCAGUGUGUUCUUGAUCUUCUUCUGUCAAAGAAAUUUGAUUCUAGCCUUUAUACCCAUCUAACAUUGUGACUCUAUCAUUCCCUGAUGCCGAUUCCACCAUUUGAGGUAUGUCGGGUAAAGGGAAGCUGUCUUUAGGGCACGCUUUGUUUAGAUCUGUAAAAUCUAUGGAAAUCCUAAUUCCGAUGUUCUUUUUAGGUACCACCACCAUAUUUUCUAUGCACUCUGGAUAUUUUGCCUCCCUUAUAAUUCCUGCAUCUAACAUCUUCUGCAAUGCUGCUUCUAUUUUAGGAUGAUAGUCAGUUGCAAUCUUCCUUGUCCUUUGCUUGAACGGCUUUACAUUCUUCUUAAUGUCUAAUUUAUGACAUGCGACAGACGGAGCUAUUUCUGACAUUUCUUUCAUACUCCAUGCGAAAAUAUCAUUAUAUUCUCGCAGAAUGCUUAUCGUUUUUUCCUCUUCUUCUUUAUCCAUUUUAGUUCCAAUUCUUUAAAUUUUUGGUUCUUCUCCAGUUCCUAUAUUUAUUUCAUUUGCUGGUUCCGCUGCAGUAAAAUUCGCUUUUGGUUCCCUCAUAGGUGUUGGUUUCUUAAUUUCUUUAAUUUGUCCACCUUCCUCCGCUAGUUCUUCGCCUGGUAUUCCUUUUCCCUCUUUCGCUCUUAUCAUGUAUAUUCGAAAUUCCUCUUCUUUCCUUUGUUCUAUUGAUUUUCUCCAUCGAUCCUUUCGCUUCUUUUCUCUCCCUUCAUAAUUUCGCACAUCUAUUUGAUUACAAGUAUUCACAACCUUAACAUCUCCUCUGAUUUUACCUAUACCGCUUGGAAUAGGGAAUACAUUGAUGUAAUGUUGAAGCUACGACCUUUAGUCCAUGUACCCAUGGUCGUCCCAACAACAUGUUGUAUGGUGACUCAAUGUCAAUCACACACAGUGUUAUCUUUGUUUGAACCUCUCCCAGUAAUAUUCGCAUAACGAUUUCUCCUUUUGGCUUUGUAAUUGCUCUAUUGAAUCCAUGAACAUUAUAUGAUGUGGUUGUCAUUUCUGCAUCUUCAUAUCCUAUUUCUUUGAAUGUGCGAUAAAAUAUUACAUCAACUACACUUCCUAUAUCUAUCAAUGUUCUAUCAAUCGCCCAUCCUUCAAAUCCCCUCUGUUUUCCAAUAAUUUUUUCUCGCUCAGCUGUGACCGUAAUUACUAAUGGAUCUGUUCGCUGUAAGUUUUCUUCUGGAAUUUCAUCCGCCGCAAAGGAAAUUUUCACCUUUUCCCAAUCUUGUAAUGAAAUUUUUUGUCUACCGUCUCUAUCUUCUUACCUUCGUAAUUUGUUUUAUGAAUUCUCCCUGUUACUGUUGCUUGAAAAUCUGCCUCAGAAGUUGAUACUAUAAUUAUGUUAUUACACUGUAUAUCUCUGCCUCUUCCUUGAAUUAGUAUGAGUCUUCUCUUCAUGGAUCCCUUAUGAUUCUUCCUUAAUUUCCCUAAGAACUUCAGAUCUAUUAACAAGAAUUAUCAUCCAGAGCUGUUUCUAGCGCCAAAAAUGUAGUUGUCAUAAAUCUUACAAUUACGUUCCACUAUCACUAAAUGAGAAUUUAGGUAACCAUCUUCUUAUUGUAUGAACUGUAGAUAGAAUUACAAAGAUUGAUCCAACUAUUACAAUGAUCUAUUUUCCCUAGAUUUACUUUCUCUUUCUAUUUCUUGACCAAGACUCACUCCAGAACUCCCUCACAAGUAAUGACUUCUCUCCUUUAUAUAAGAUUUUAUAUAGUGGAUGACAACUAAGAAACCCACUAUUUUCAGGAUCACUAUGCGACACAUUCGCUCAUAUACAAUCGCUCAUCUUCGCAUAGAAUAUCUCUUCGCACAGUUCUUCGCACUUUACUCGUGACUUUGUUGACAUCAUCUGGUGCGUCAUCUCAACUUUAUUGUGUGCGAUGCUCUUCGCUUAGAUUGUAUUCUUUACUUCGCGUGAUUACUAACAUGUGCGGUAUUUUACUCCUCCAAUACUUAGAGAAUUUUCUUCAUGUAAAAAGAUAUUAUGCAUGCAGACCAUGAGCACCGAGGCUCCAUUAUGAUAACCAGAAGACAAAGUCUCAAUUUUAUAGUCGUCAAGAGUUUUUUCAAAAACCAGACGUGGCGGAUUAUCCGGAAAUCCUUCCCUGUCUUGAUCCAAAGUCUAUUAUCAAUGUUGAACUCUCCACUAUUUCCAAGCCAAUGUGCUUCCCAGAUAGGUUUCUUAUAAGGAUUUGUAUCUGUAAAUUGAAUUGAGUUGAGCAAUUAGAUCACAUACAAUUAAUUCCGUCCAUGUGUCCAGUAGAAUAUCACCAUUUUCAAAA
Long non-coding RNA from Papaver somniferum (opium poppy), 2982 nucleotides. RefSeq lists it as uncharacterized. The transcript has 2 exons. The record is from RefSeq and is a predicted model, not a curated record. NCBI's taxonomy places the organism in Eukaryota, Viridiplantae, Streptophyta, Magnoliopsida, Ranunculales, Papaveraceae.